AUUGAACGCUGGCGGCAGGCUUAACACAUGCAAGUCGAGCGGGCCCUUCGGGGUCAGCGGCGGACGGGUGAGUAACGCGUGGGAACGUGCCUUCUGGUCUGGAAUAACCCUGGGAAACUAGGGCUAAUACCGGAUACGCCCUUUUGGGGAAAGGUUUACUGCCGGAAGAUCGGCCCGCGUCUGAUUAGCUAGUUGGUGGGGUAACGGCCUACCAAGGCGACGAUCAGUAGCUGGUCUGAGAGGAUGAUCAGCCACACUGGGACUGAGACACGGCCCAGACUCCUACGGGAGGUAGCAGUGGGGAAUAUUGGACAAUGGGCGCAAGCCUGAUCCAGCCAUGCCGCGUGAGUGAUGAAGGCCUUAGGGUUGUAAAGCUCUUUUAUCCGGGACGAUAAUGACGGUACCGGAGGAAUAAGCCCCGGCUAACUUCGUG
This 433-nucleotide ribosomal RNA is filed under the name uncultured bacterium. Its description in RNAcentral is "partial 16S ribosomal RNA". It matches the Rfam family "Bacterial small subunit ribosomal RNA", at positions 30 to 507 of the family's 1533-position model. The record is from RNAcentral.